CCCUUAGAUGUUCUGGGCCGCACGCGCGCUACACUGACUGGUGCAACAAGUGUCGCUCCUUGGCCGACAGGCCCGGGCAAUCUUUGAACGCUGGUCGUGAUGGGGAUAGACUUUUGCAAUUUUUGGUCUUCAACGAGGAAUUCCUAGUAAACGCAAGUCAUCAACUUGCAUUGAUUACGUCCCUGCCCUUUGUACACACCGCCCGUCGCACCUACCGAUUGAAUGGUCCGGUGAAGCCUCCGGAUUGGCGCGCACCUCGGUGCCGCCGAGAAGUUGGCUAAACCUUACCAUUUAGAGGAAGGUGAAGUCGUAACA
Molecule: ribosomal RNA, 315 nt
Filed under: uncultured eukaryote
Lineage: Eukaryota
Description: partial 18S ribosomal RNA
Rfam family: Eukaryotic small subunit ribosomal RNA
Source: RNAcentral